Molecule: ribosomal RNA, 466 nt
Filed under: Vreelandella stevensii
Lineage: Bacteria; Pseudomonadati; Pseudomonadota; Gammaproteobacteria; Oceanospirillales; Halomonadaceae
Description: partial 16S ribosomal RNA
Rfam family: Bacterial small subunit ribosomal RNA
Source: RNAcentral
CCUACAGGGGGGCAGCAGUGGGGAAUAUUGGACAAUGGGGGGAACCCUGAUCCAGCCAUGCCGCGUGUGUGAAGAAGGCCCUCGGGUUGUAAAGCACUUUCAGUGAGGAAGAACGCCUGGUGGUUAAUACCCAUCAGGAAAGACAUCACUCACAGAAGAAGCACCGGCUAACUCCGUGCCAGCAGCCGCGGUAAUACGGAGGGUGCGAGCGUUAAUCGGAAUUACUGGGCGUAAAGCGCGCGUAGGUGGCUUGAUAAGCCGGUUGUGAAAGCCCCGGGCUCAACCUGGGAACGGCAUCCGGAACUGUCAAGCUAGAGUGCAGGAGAGGAAGGUAGAAUUCCCGGUGUAGCGGUGAAAUGCGUAGAGAUCGGGAGGAAUACCAGUGGCGAAGGCGGCCUUCUGGACUGACACUGACACUGAGGUGCGAAAGCGUGGGUAGCAAACAGGAUUAGAUACCCCAGUAGUC